UAGGAUAUAGCAUAAAUAUAAUGUACUUCGCUUACACUGAAGUGAUAACUUAGAUUAAGUUUAUCUUAA
This 69-nucleotide transfer RNA is filed under the name Bolma rugosa. RNAcentral describes it as "tRNA-Val". The record is from RNAcentral. Lineage: Eukaryota; Metazoa; Mollusca; Gastropoda; Trochida; Turbinidae.